Molecule: ribosomal RNA, 253 nt
Filed under: uncultured bacterium
Lineage: Bacteria
Description: partial 16S ribosomal RNA
Rfam family: Bacterial small subunit ribosomal RNA
Source: RNAcentral
UACGAAGGGGGCUAGCGUUGUUCGGAAUCACUGGGCGUAAAGGGCGCGUAGGCGGCUUUAUAAGUCGGGGGUGAAAGCCUGUGGCUCAACCACAGAAUUGCCUUCGAUACUGUAGAGCUUGAGACCGGAAGAGGUUAGUGGAACUGCGAGUGUAGAGGUGAAAUUCGUAGAUAUUCGCAAGAACACCAGUGGCGAAGGCGGCUGACUGGUCCGGUUCUGACGCUGAGGCGCGAAAGCGUGGGGAGCAAACAGG